GCAGGCAUAGCUCAGUGGCAGAGCACAUGCCUAGCAUGCAUAAGAUCCUGGGUUCAAUCCCCAGUACCACCA
This 72-nucleotide transfer RNA is filed under the name Camelus dromedarius (Arabian camel). It matches the Rfam family "tRNA". From Rfam's summary of the family: Transfer RNA (tRNA) molecules are approximately 80 nucleotides in length. Their secondary structure includes four short double-helical elements and three loops (D, anti-codon, and T loops). Further hydrogen bonds mediate the characteristic L-shaped molecular structure. tRNAs have two regions of fundamental functional importance: the anti-codon, which is responsible for specific mRNA codon recognition, and the 3' end, to which the tRNAs corresponding amino acid is attached (by aminoacyl-tRNA synthetases). tRNAs cope with the degeneracy of the genetic code in two manners: having more than one tRNA (with a specific anti-codon) for a particular amino acid; and 'wobble' base-pairing, i.e. permitting non-standard base-pairing at the 3rd anti-codon position. The record is from Rfam by way of RNAcentral. Lineage: Eukaryota; Metazoa; Chordata; Mammalia; Artiodactyla; Camelidae. RNAcentral also lists the same sequence under 1 other name.